Alnus glutinosa is the source of this 588-nucleotide long non-coding RNA. RefSeq lists it as uncharacterized. The record is from RefSeq and is a predicted model, not a curated record. The transcript has 2 exons. NCBI's taxonomy places the organism in Eukaryota, Viridiplantae, Streptophyta, Magnoliopsida, Fagales, Betulaceae.
CCUUGGUCCUGCUGUAUAUAUCCCACGAGCUUCGUUCCUCUAUAAAACCCUAGCCUCAAGCAUCAAAUCCCAAGCGCCGCUCCUUAUUCUGUAGGUCAUGGUCAAGGCGUUGCGUUCGUCGGUGGGUUUAAAUCCAGAAGGACGCGUCAACGAAAGCGUAAAUCAAAGCCAGAUCCGACCAUUUUUCCUUUACAUAACAAACAGCUACGCAUCGUUUGGUUGGUCGUAGUUUGUUUCAUGGUCGGGUUCUGACAUUUUAUGUUUGAAGCAAUUGUUUAUUAGUAUUAUUUGUGUUUGGAGGGCGUUGCUUCUUUAUGGUGAACUCUCCCUUGUUUCAAAAUGGGGGAUGUUCAAGUUUCCGAAGCAUAGAUUAAUGUCUUUGCCAGUAUUAAACAGCGCUGUGUAUUCUUUUUGUUGUUACACUGUGCUACCUGUCUCCUGGUAAAUUUUCCAUCUCAUUUUUCUUUUGAUCGGAAUCUCUCUGUUGGGUUUUAAUCGGAUGUUGUAGAAUUUUUAAAUGGUCAGGUCUUUUCUUCCCUUGUGAUUUUUGUGUCGAUAUUUUAACAUAUUUUCAUGAAUCUUUUUGAU